Long non-coding RNA from Ictalurus punctatus (channel catfish), 690 nucleotides. The record is from Ensembl. NCBI's taxonomy places the organism in Eukaryota, Metazoa, Chordata, Actinopteri, Siluriformes, Ictaluridae.
GUGAACGUACCUUAUCAUUAUAACCAGGAAUGUUUUGUGUUUCUGAUGGGAAAUACCAAAAUCCUUCGGAGACUGUAGAGCUCAGAGCUCUACAGAACUCCGAAUCCAGCAGACACGGCUGAGGAAAACAGGAGUGUAACAGGAAGAGAAGAGGAGGAAAAGACUGUAAUUUAUCAUUCACUGUUCUAGUGCAGUAGCGAGACCAAAAGAGCACUGCAAGCUUUCACUCAAGCAAAAUUGCUUCUGAGAAAAAUGUGAAAGAAAAGCCUUCCAAGAUAAAGGCUCUCAAAGGAAGGGUACAAUCAAACACACGUUCACAGAACCGCUGAGACACUACGGACACUUUGGACACGCCGAUCAGCCUAUAACGCAUGUCUUUGGACUGGAGGAGGAAACCAGAGUACCCGGAGGAAACCCCUGAAGCACAGGGGCGGCGGUGGAUCUGGAGUCUGUCCCAGGACCACUGGAUAUGAGGCAGGAAUACACCCUCGACCGGAGUUUCCAUUUCCGUUAUGGAGAACACAAACUGCGACUUGCGCGUGAAUCGGAUUAAAGUGAGGAAGACUCGCGCAGCAUCGGCCUCGCUCUCACUUCCCGGUGACCGCCAAGACUGAGCAAGAUGACUCGGCAAGACUGAGUCAAGACGACUGAAGAUGGUCCCCGGGCGCAGUGACUCAUACACACACUCAC